This 638-nucleotide ribosomal RNA is filed under the name Streptomyces sp. SUK10. RNAcentral describes it as "bacterial SSU rRNA". It matches the Rfam family "Bacterial small subunit ribosomal RNA", at positions 37 to 692 of the family's 1533-position model. The record is from RNAcentral. Lineage: Bacteria; Bacillati; Actinomycetota; Actinomycetes; Kitasatosporales; Streptomycetaceae.
UGGCGGCGUGCUUAACACAUGCAAGUCGAACGAUGAACCACUUCGGUGGGGAUUAGUGGCGAACGGGUGAGUAACACGUGGGCAAUCUGCCCUGCACUCUGGGACAAGCCCUGGAAACGGGGUCUAAUACCGGAUACGAGUCUCCAAGGCAUCUUGGGGACUGUAAAGCUCCGGCGGUGCAGGAUGAGCCCGCGGCCUAUCAGCUUGUUGGUGAGGUAGUGGCUCACCAAGGCGACGACGGGUAGCCGGCCUGAGAGGGCGACCGGCCACACUGGGACUGAGACACGGCCCAGACUCCUACGGGAGGCAGCAGUGGGGAAUAUUGCACAAUGGGCGAAAGCCUGAUGCAGCGACGCCGCGUGAGGGAUGACGGCCUUCGGGUUGUAAACCUCUUUCAGCAGGGAAGAAGCGAAAGUGACGGUACCUGCAGAAGAAGCGCCGGCUAACUACGUGCCAGCAGCCGCGGUAAUACGUAGGGCGCAAGCGUUGUCCGGAAUUAUUGGGCGUAAAGAGCUCGUAGGCGGCUUGUCACGUCGGUUGUGAAAGCCCGGGGCUUAACCCCGGGUCUGCAGUCGAUACGGGCAGGCUAGAGUUCGGUAGGGGAGAUCGGAAUUCCUGGUGUAGCGGUGAAAUGCGCA